This 1328-nucleotide ribosomal RNA is filed under the name Vibrio sp. 7A7. Its description in RNAcentral is "bacterial SSU rRNA". It matches the Rfam family "Bacterial small subunit ribosomal RNA", at positions 93 to 1414 of the family's 1533-position model. The record is from RNAcentral. Lineage: Bacteria; Pseudomonadati; Pseudomonadota; Gammaproteobacteria; Vibrionales; Vibrionaceae.
GAGCGGCGGACGGGUGAGUAAUGCCUAGAGAAAUUGCCCUGGUGUGGGGGAUAACCAUUGGAAACGAUGGCUAAUACCGCAUAAUGCCUACUGGCCAAAGAGGGGGACCUUCGGGCCUCUCGCGUCAGGAUAUGCCUAGGUGGGAUUAGCUAUGUUGGUGAGGUAAUGGCUCACCAAGGCGACUAUCCCUAUACUGGUCUGAGAGGAUGAUCAGCCACACUGGAACUGAGACACGGUCCAGACUCCUACGGGAGGCAGCAGUGGGGAAUAUUGCACAAUGGGCGCAAGCCUGAUGCAACCAUGCCGCGUGUGUGAAGAAGGCCUUCGGGUUGUAAAGCACUUUCAGUCGUGAGGAAGGUAGUGUAGUUAAUAGCUGCAUUAUUUGACGUUAGCGACAGAAGAAGCACCGGCUAACUCCGUGCCAGCAGCCGCGGUAAUACGGAGGGUGCGAGCGUUAAUCGGAAUUACUGGGCGUAAAGCGCAUGCAGGUGGUUUGUUAAGUCAUAUGUGAAAGCCCGGGGCUCAACCUCGGAAUAGCAUUUGAAACUGGCAUACUAGAGUACUGUAGAGGGGGGUAGAAUUUCAGGUGUAGCGGUGAAAUGCGUAGAGAUCUGAAGGAAUACCGGUGGCGAAGGCGGCCCCCUGGACAGAUACUGACACUCAGAUGCGAAAGCGUGGGGAGCAAACAGGAUUAGAUACCCUGGUAGUCCACGCCGUAAACGAUGUCUACUUGGAGGUUGUGGCCUUGAGCCGUGGCUUUCGGAGCUAACGCGUUAAGUAGACCGCCUGGGGAGUACGGUCGCAAGAUUAAAACUCAAAUGAAUUGACGGGGGCCCGCACAAGCGGUGGAGCAUGUGGUUUAAUUCGAUGCAACGCGAAGAACCUUACCUACUCUUGACAUCCAGAGAACUUUCCAGAGAUGGAUUGGUGCCUUCGGGAACUCUGAGACAGGUGCUGCAUGGCUGUCGUCAGCUCGUGUUGUGAAAUGUUGGGUUAAGUCCCGCAACGAGCGCAACCCUUAUCCUUGUUUGCCAGCGAGUAAUGUCGGGAACUCCAGGGAGACUGCCGGUGAUAAACCGGAGGAAGGUGGGGACGACGUCAAGUCAUCAUGGCCCUUACGAGUAGGGCUACACACGUGCUACAAUGGCGCAUACAGAGGGCAGCAAGCUAGCGAUAGUGAGCGAAUCCCAAAAAGUGCGUCGUAGUCCGGAUUGGAGUCUGCAACUCGACUCCAUGAAGUCGGAAUCGCUAGUAAUCGUGGAUCAGAAUGCCCCGGUGAAUACGUUCCCGGGCCUUGUACACACCGCCCGUCACACCAUGGGAGUGGG